AUUUUUUUCCUCUGUCCGGUGGUAUUGUCCUCGGCGGAAACAUUUAAGAUGCCAUUGGCAUCAAUGUCAAAGCAGACAGUUAUCUGAAGAAUACCCCUUGGUGCAGGAUGUAUACCAGAGAGCUCAAAUUUACCCAACAAGUUGUUGUCUUUUGUCCUUGCUCUCUCUCCCUCGUAAACCUGAAUUAACUCUUCAGAUUGGUUAUCAGAAUAAGUUGAAAAUAUCUUCUUUCUCUUUGCAGGAAUGGUGGUGUUCCUUGGAAUCAGGACAGUCAUAAGUCCUCCAGCAGUUUCGAGUCCUAGCGAUAAAGGGGUGACAUCCAAAAGGCGCAAAUCUUUAACUUUCACAUUACCCUCUCCACUAAGAAUGGCUGCUUGCACAGCAGCG
Molecule: long non-coding RNA, 387 nt
Filed under: Solanum tuberosum (potato)
Lineage: Eukaryota; Viridiplantae; Streptophyta; Magnoliopsida; Solanales; Solanaceae
Description: long non-coding RNA (STUB_LNC006131)
Source: RNAcentral